Molecule: long non-coding RNA, 1275 nt
Filed under: Cucumis sativus (cucumber)
Lineage: Eukaryota; Viridiplantae; Streptophyta; Magnoliopsida; Cucurbitales; Cucurbitaceae
Description: long non-coding RNA (CSAT_LNC002186)
Source: RNAcentral
GCCAAACCCAAAUCUGAACCUAGCUGCUGUUGGUCUAACUCCAGGUUCAGCUGGUGGUCUUGAGGGUCCAGACCGCAUUUUUGUGGGUGGACUUCCCUAUUACUUCACAGAAGCUCAGGUGAGGGAGUUGCUGGAGUCUUUUGGGCCCCUACGAGGUUUUGAUCUCGUGAAAGACAGAGAGACUGGAAAUUCAAAAGGAUAUGCAUUUUGUGUUUACCAAGAUCUUUCAGUCACAGACAUAGCCUGUGCAGCACUCAAUGGUAUUAAAAUGGGUGAUAAGACGCUCACUGUUCGGCGUGCGAAUCAAGGAGCCAAUCAACCCAAACCAGAACAAGAAAGUGUUCUUUUACAUGCACAGCAGCAAAUUGCUUUACAGGUGGGUGAAUUCUAAAUGAAUGCAUGCAAUUGCCUCCUUUCUACCUAAGAAUUUUUAAAUACCAGUUCAUCAUUGAAAUUAUCAAUUGAAUAAUUUCGGGGAAAAAGGCCAAUUGCAUACCUCUUCAUUAAAGUUGUGAUUCAACCAGCAUAUAGUUUUGUUUUUUGGAGCGCUUUGAAGGACUGAAAAUUCUUAGAAUAUUAUUGUAAAAUGCAGAGAAUUUCCUAAGAAGUGACAAAUAACUUGUAGUGGUUGUAAGGAUAUGGUUUGUUUCCUUCUUGCAUGCCUAUUAUAUCAAAACCGAUAAGAGUCCAUGGUUAAAUUUUUAUUCUCCAUCUAUGUCUCAGUAUGUCAUAUUUGUUCUUUUUUAAAUAAUUGUGCAGUAUUAUUAUCUUUUGGUUUAUAGCUUUCUUACCGUAUUCCUCUCUCAGAAGCUUAUGCUACAGCCUGGGGCUGUAUCCACCAAGGUUCUCUGUCUUACACAAGUUGUGACCCCUGAAGAGCUUAUUAAUGAUGAAGACUAUGAAGAUAUCAUGGAAGACAUGCGAGGGGAAGGCGGAAAAUUUGGUAAACAAACAAAUCUUUUGAUUGUGGUCCUAUAAUCUAAUAAUAGAUUCUAUAUUUUGUUUUUAAAUUUUAAAGCUUCAUGCUACUCAUUGGUUUCUUGUUUGUGUUUUUUUUGUGUGUGAUAUCUCUGUUUUACAGCCUUUUCUUGUCCUCACAUUCUGGUAGAAAGAAUCAGACAAAUAACUUACAGACAGAAGCCUCCAUAACCUUCUUUCUUUAUACACCCGCCCAAUUUGUACUUUACUUGAUUCUGCAAAUUUGUGGUUUCAAGUGGUUUUUAUUGUCUUUUUGCAGGUACAUUAGUGAAUGUCGUUAUCCCGCGUCCAAGACCC